CAUAAUUGAAAUUCAAUUAGGAUUGGUCUCCGUCGCCCAGCCACUCAAGUUUCACACGAUCGCAUUAGUUGCUGCCCAAAUCAUAAGCUGCCGAGAUCCAAUCGCGUCACUGUCAUGGUUCAGAUCAGCCAUUCACAUCUGCUUGGAGCCGUACUGGUGCCAGGUCCACGCCAACCACCCAUCGCCGGUCAGUUGCGCCACUCGCGUGGGUCCAGUUGUUUGAGUCUUCGCAACCCAGCGCCAUCGCGACUUCUCGUGCCACACCUCUAUCAAGGCUUGCUCGCGUCGUCGUCAUUCACGUCCAACCGCUUGCCUCUAUUGAAGCCACACUGCUGCCGCUGUGAAUGAAGUCGCGCUACCGGAAACCGUGAUUGACAUCCGAUUUGCGUUCAGCACUAGUUUCGUCAGUGCGAUUCGUUGUUUAGGUUUUCGUCGGAACUUGGAUUUUGAGUUGUGUUAUUGAUUGCAGGUUCUUUAAAGUAAAGCUAAAGUUCAGGUUUGGCCAAAAAAAGUUUAAAUUUAAUUAUAAAGCGUCCUUAGGAUUUGGGCCAAGAAGUUUCUCAAGUUAAGAAGAUUGGAUUGCUUUGUUUACAUUGAGACGGAAGCAGACUAGCGAGUGACGAGAGGGACUGGUGACCAAGCUAUAUCGGACAUAAAAAUUGCUUCUGCUAAGUUUAUGUUAUGUCUUUUUAAAAAGGUUAUUUGAAUGUUUUGAAAUUAGAUUUUAACGUUAGAUAGAAUGUUUUAUAUUUUGAAUGUUUUCUUUCUAAGUAUUUUUAGGGGCCCCAAGCAAAGAUUUUACUUAUUUGUUUUUUAUUAGUUUUCUAGUUUGGUUUGUAAAGUUGUCUUUAUCGUUUUAAUAGAUUUUUUCCCUCAAUGGUCUAAAUGUUUGUGUUUUAUUGUGUAUUUAUGAGUAACGGCCAUUGUUAAAAUACUCAAAGGGUAGGGUCGCUACACCUAGAAAGUAGGACAAUUCCCCUACCAUGCUCAUCUGAAAUUCCUAUUGCAUUUGUUUCACAAAGUGCUCAACCAUCUUCUGUGACAUUCCACCGAAGACAAUAUCGUCAACGUAGAUUUGGACAAAACAAAAUUCUCAUGAGAUUUCUUUACAAAGAGGGUUCUAUCAACUCCUCCUCACUUAUACUCAUUGUUGACAAAAAAAAAAUUGGGUUAAACGUUCAUACCAGGCCCUAGGUGCCUGUCUAAGUCAAGGAAUCGAAUUCCCGCGGAAGCAUGAAACACCUUGAUUAAGACAUUCAAUUUUUAUUGAAACCAAAAGAGUAAAAUAAAAACAUGCAUUUGUUGGAUAAAUAUUCAAACAAAACUAUAAGCAUGUUAGAAAAGAGGAAGAAAAGGAGAAAUCAAAACUCACCUUUGUUGAUUCUUCUAGCUUUCCUCUUCCACCGUUAUCAACGAUCUCGAACUUCCCAAUGAAGAAGGGCACCACCAACAAAAUUACCUUGCUAUUCACUACGAGUAUGGCCUGCUUUGUAGAUGUUACAAUUAUUGUAAAGUGCUACAAAUGAUCUGAUCUUGAUCAUUCAUGUGGAGACAUGUGAGCGGGGAUAUUCUAUACAAAGAAGUUUGUAUAAGA
This is a long non-coding RNA of Benincasa hispida (wax gourd), 1594 nucleotides long. RefSeq lists it as uncharacterized. NCBI's taxonomy places the organism in Eukaryota, Viridiplantae, Streptophyta, Magnoliopsida, Cucurbitales, Cucurbitaceae. The record is from RefSeq and is a predicted model, not a curated record.